Molecule: microRNA precursor, 59 nt
Filed under: Blattella germanica (German cockroach)
Lineage: Eukaryota; Metazoa; Arthropoda; Insecta; Blattodea; Blattellidae
Description: Bge-Mir-34_pre stem-loop
Source: RNAcentral
UGGCAGUGUGGUUAGCUGGUUGUGUAGUUGUUAAUCACGACCGCUUCUGCACUGCCCUC